CCUACGGGAGGCAGCAGUGAGGAAUAUUGGUCAAUGGACGAGAGUCUGAACCAGCCAAGUAGCGUGAAGGAUGACUGCCCUAUGGGUUGUAAACUUCUUUUAUAUGGGAAUAAAACAGGGUAUGCAUACCCUCUUGUACGUACCAUAUGAAUAAGGAUCGGCUCACUCCGUGCCAGCAGCCGCGGUAAUACGGAGGAUCCGAGCGUUAUCAGGAUUUAUUGGGUGUAAAGGGAGCGUAGGUGGAUUGUUAAGUCAGUUGUGAAAGUUUGCGGCUCAACCGUAAAAGUGCAUUUGAAACUGGCAGUCUUGAGUGCAGUAGAGGUGGGCGGAAUUCGUGGUGUAGCGGUGAAAUGCUUAGAUAUCACGAAGAACUCCGAUUGCGAAGGCAGCUUACUAAACUGUGACUGACAUUGAUGCUCGAAAGUGUGGGUAUCAAACAGGAUUAGAUACCCGGGUAGUC
RNAcentral lists this ribosomal RNA (460 nucleotides) under uncultured bacterium. Its description in RNAcentral is "partial 16S ribosomal RNA". It matches the Rfam family "Bacterial small subunit ribosomal RNA", at positions 338 to 795 of the family's 1533-position model. The record is from RNAcentral.